RNAcentral lists this ribosomal RNA (408 nucleotides) under uncultured bacterium. RNAcentral's name for it is "partial 16S ribosomal RNA". It matches the Rfam family "Bacterial small subunit ribosomal RNA", at positions 28 to 526 of the family's 1533-position model. The record is from RNAcentral.
GACGAACGCUGGCGGCGUGCCUAAUACAUGCAAGUCGAGCGAAGCGGCGGAUGGGUGAGUAAUGCGUGGGUAACCUGCCCGUAAGUCUGGGACACCAUGUGGAAACAGAUACUAAUACCGGAUACUAAGGGCUGGACCUGCGUUGCAUUAGCUAGUUGGUAAGGUAACGGCCUACAAAGGCGAUGAUGCAUAGCCGGGUGGAGAGACUGAUCGGCCACAUUGGGACUGAGACACGGCCCAAACUCCUACGGGAGGCAGCAGUAGGGAAUCUUCCACAAUGGACGAAAGUCUGAUGGAGCAACGCCGCGUGAGUGAAGAAGGUUUUCGGAUCGUAAAGCUCUGUUGUUGGUGAAGCGGUAAUCAACCAGAAAGUCACGGCUAACUACGUGCCAGCAGCCGCGGUAAUAC